RNAcentral lists this unclassified non-coding RNA (379 nucleotides) under uncultured Gammaproteobacteria bacterium. Its description in RNAcentral is "contains 16S-23S intergenic spacer region". The record is from RNAcentral. Lineage: Bacteria; Pseudomonadati; Pseudomonadota; Gammaproteobacteria.
UCCGCGUUAUUCGCGGCAGUCUCUCUAGAGUGCCCAACUGAAUGUAGCAACUAAUGACAAGGGUUGCGCUCGUUGCGGGACUUAACCCAACAUCUCACGACACGAGCUGACGACAGCCAUGCGGCACCUGUGUUCCAGUUCCCUUUCGGGCACAGCCGCCUUUCAGCAGCCUUCCGGACAUGUCAAGGGUAGGUAAGGUUUUUCGCGUUGCAUCGAAUUAAUCCACAUAAUCCACCGCUUGUGCGGGUCCCCGUCAAUUCCUUUGAGUUUUAACCUUGCGGCCGUACUCCCCAGGCGGUCGACUUCACGCGUUAGCUUCGGCACGGACGGGGUUGAUAUCCGCCCACACCUAGCACCCAACGUUUACGGCUAGGACUAC